This 301-nucleotide long non-coding RNA is filed under the name Actinidia chinensis (golden kiwifruit). RNAcentral describes it as "long non-coding RNA (ACHI_LNC008312)". The record is from RNAcentral. Lineage: Eukaryota; Viridiplantae; Streptophyta; Magnoliopsida; Ericales; Actinidiaceae.
UCCAAGACGAUAUCCAAGACGCUAUUCCAGUUUAUCGAUUUAUCGUCUUCAAAUGUAGCUUUCUCGUCUGAUGUUGUGAUUCUUCUAUAGCCUCCGGCUAGUGAACACAGGGACCGAAGGGGGCGAGGGCCUUCUGCUCUCUCUCACCAUCUAGGUACCCUAUUAUAGUAGGAUUGAAGCAGUUAAUCUACUAUAACAGGAUUUGGUACCCAGUGUGGAGCCGAUGUCGCUUGUAUGGCGUGCAGGGCUUUGAACUCCUGCGGGCUACGUUCGAACUAAACGAGAGUCAGGCUUUCUCUCC